AAUAAGAAGUAAAUAAAUUACAUAUUAAUUUCGACUUAAUAAUAGAUAUAAAAUCUUAUUU
Molecule: transfer RNA, 61 nt
Filed under: Eriosoma lanigerum (woolly apple aphid)
Lineage: Eukaryota; Metazoa; Arthropoda; Insecta; Hemiptera; Aphididae
Description: tRNA-Arg
Source: RNAcentral